GGCGCUAUCCCUCCUGAGCUGAGAAAGAAGGCAAGGGUGGGUGGGGGAAAGGGGUACCUGCCUACCUACCGGGGCUGGCAAGCGAGCGCCUUGUUAGCGGGGUGUUAAGCACUAGCGUGCGGCACUGCGCCUUAAGACGUCAGCUAUGGCUCCGUAGGGUGUGAUGAGUGCUUUACCCGGCACUCAUCCUGUGCCCGGCCCACCUACCCUUGUGACAUGGGUCGCGCUCUUCCGGGCGCAGCCCAUGUCAAUUGUCUAUCACUCCUGAGCUA
This 272-nucleotide non-coding RNA is filed under the name Bartramia halleriana. The record is from RNAcentral. Lineage: Eukaryota; Viridiplantae; Streptophyta; Bryopsida; Bartramiales; Bartramiaceae.